Molecule: ribosomal RNA, 198 nt
Filed under: Triticum aestivum (bread wheat)
Lineage: Eukaryota; Viridiplantae; Streptophyta; Magnoliopsida; Poales; Poaceae
Description: partial small subunit ribosomal RNA
Source: RNAcentral
AUGCGUCACGAACGCGCCGGUCGCCGGGUGCCGGAGCACCUCCACUUGCGGCGCCCAGGAGGAAACCACCAUCCCGCGUCCCCUCGUCCUGUCCAAGAAUCCCUCCGGCAGCAGCGGCUCCACCGCCGCCUCGGCCCGCCCCUCGAACCGCUUCGUCGCGUCGGCGUCCGGCGCAACGGGCGCUCGCACGGCCCAUAA